CUACAGGGCUGCCGGGAGAGAAAGGUGAAAAGGGUAAUACCGGUACCGGCACACAAGGUCCCAGAGGGCCACCGGGUCCACCAGGCCCUCAAGGUGAAGGCAGAACAGGAAGUCCAGGUCAGCCAGGUACUCAGGGUCUACGAGGCCCUCUUGGUCCUGCAGGACCACCGGGUUCAAGAGGACCUGCUGGAGCACCAGGAUACUGUGAUGCAUCAUCCUGUGCUGGUUACAGUGUUGGAGGUCAAGUACAGUAUAACGAUUACUAGCUCUGAACCGUAAAUACUGUGUACCAUUUUUUCCUGUGUGAGUCACCAUCCUAGGCCAUCAUGAAGCCAUUUUGAUAAAUAUACCUACAGCGCCUUCAGCCUUAUGUGCCUCAUACCUGUGCAAUACCAGCAUCCAGCUUAUCUCCUGGCAGCUUUCCAGACUGAGCUAUUGUUUCCAAAACAGAAUCAGCCUGUAACUUAUUUUUAUAAAGUUUAUAAAAUAGUCCAUUAAGCUAAUAAGAAGACGUGCUGAGAAGUAGAAAAUGUGCUUCAAGUGUUUCCUUAUUUUUGUCCAUAGUCUUGUCUAUGUUUUUGUCUCUGAUACGUUUUUGUAUCUUUAUGCUAUUGAAUAGUUUAAUACACAGUGUAAAUUAAAUUUAUUUAAAUGUAAAUCUCUGGUUUAAUAGUUGUUUUAGCUUGAUUUUUCUGCUGCCUUCAUUUUUGUCUGCUAACUUUAUGAAUACUCUUGGUGGUGGUGGUGGGUAAAGGUGGAUAUGGUGACCCAACAGAUCAAGACAUCCCUGUAGUUCAGUUACCUCCUAACUCCUACCAGAUCUAUAAUCCCGAGGACCCCUAUGAUGAAGAGGAACAAGAGACAUACAUAAGUCAUGGGUCUUACCCCAGGCCAGUCCCAUAUCCACGGCUUUCCUAUCCACAGCCUCAGCCACUUCAGCCCGAGUUCACACCAGUUCAAGAGGAUGAAGACUCCAUCGAAAUGAGAUCACCUGGCAUGGCUCGUAAUACAAGGGACCUGUCAAAAAGGAUCAUCAGAACAUCAAAACACAAGAGGAUAAAUGUAUAUAAAAAUUAGAUUUAAGGCCAGUGGCUUGGUAAGUAAGCAUAGUGUAGUUUCAGCUAAAACAGGAAGAAUUUAUAUCUAAAGGUGUACUGACAGAGAGCUACAUCUGCACUGCAUUGUUGACAAACAUCUACUUGUAUGCUAGUAAUGCAAGAGGAAUGCCAUAAUGAUUAAAAUGUUGCUAUAUUCUACUGCACAUAAAACAUAAAUGGCAUGUGAAGAUUGUUAUCUAAAUAUAUAAGACAGUAAUGGAGAACUCAUCAAAAUGUAAUAAAUAUAUUUGAAAACAUGUUCCUUAUAUUUAUAAGCAUCUGGUAAGCUUACUGCCUGUAAAUGUAAGUGGGAUAGUAUAUGGUACAUUAAAUAUAAAGUGCUAACACGUUUAGGGUUUCGCUAGCUAUUAUCAUUGUGCCCGAUCUGUCUGCCAGUCAGCAGGAAUCAAACUGACAUGAUAAUAUUUCACAAACUGUGCUGUUCUUUAACCGAGUAAACAAAGCCCUUAGCUGGGUCCCAAUCAAGUACUUCAAGAAACAGAUUAACUAAGUAAUAUUCCUUAGUUAACAGACUCUGCCUACACAUAUAAGCACAUCUGAAACAUUAUGUAUAUAUAUAUAAAUAUAUAUAUAUAUAUAUAUAUAUAUAUAUAUAUAUAUAUAUAUAUAUAUGUAUGUAUGUAUUUCUGUAAUAGAACUGUUUAUAAAUUGUCAAGAGCCGUUUUACAUAUUUUAGGACCAUCACCACUACAAGUGGAACUAAUUUAAUUAGUUCUGCUAGAGUUGAAAUAAAUAUAUUAUUUCAGCUCUUAGUCAUUAAACUGACAUCAUGAAAAGGCAAAAAAAAAAAAUAAAUAUAUAUAUAUAUAUAUAUAUAUAUAUAUAUAUAUAUAUAUAUACCGAGAUUCUAGUAGCAAGUGUUCUAUCAAUGGCUAAAUACAUGGCAGCAUAUGAUAGGCAGUCACCACCGAAACAUCUGUUAAGCAGCUGUUCUCUGAUUGGUGAAAUAUUCAGAAGCAUGUGUAGCCUCUUCCACAACAAGCUUCAAGACUCCAUUUGGUUUUAAUUCAUACUGAAUGUCUUAAGUGAAAAUGCCAGCUUCUUUGAGAAACUAAAUUUUGAAUGGCAGAGUUUGAGUUUAUAAUUUUAUAAGUGAAUGUAUUUUUUGUCUGAAAUUGAUUGAAGCACACAAGGAGGCCAAGACCUCCGCAGCAGAAAAAAAUCACAUGCACUCAUGUGGUCCUAUAUAUCCCAGUAUCUUUCUCUCUCCACACUGGGCAUUACUGCAUACACAAAGUUUAGUAUUCUGUUCAAGUAAAUUUCAAUAAUUUAUUCCAUUGUGUGUGAUGCUCCAAUACUAUUAUUUUGUAUGCUUGGACAUUAUUUGGAAAUGUGGUGGCUUCUUUUCUCUAACUUACUAAAGAGGUGCUAUCAUAAUUUCAGAGGUCAGUUGUACAUUUAGCAGUAUAGUUGUCAUGAACCAGAAUGUUGUGCACUGAAUAAAAUGCAAUUCUGUAAAAGGUGUGCUUGCACAGUUGUCUUGAAACUGUUCACUCUGUGCCUUAGAUUUAUGUAUUCUGAGCUAGUUAAAUUCAGAUUAAAUAACAAUCUAUGUUUACAUAUUUUGUUUAUAAUAAACCAGUUUCAAUAAAGAUUUAUCUAUGUAGUAUGGUACUAAUGUAAUGGAUGUUCUUCUAAGCUAUGAGUCUUUAUUAGAUUAUUUUAGAAUAUUCACAAAUAUCUGAUCUUUGUAAAUGAAGAGCUGUUAAGUGUAUUGAUACAGAGCUUUACAUAAUAUAAAUGUCAUUAAAAAGGUAUGAGUAUGUUUGUGAAGUCAUUGCAUACUAUAAAAAGCAUGUUUGUUGAGAAGCAUUGUUUAAAAAGCUACAAUGUAAAAAGAUUUCUGUACAGUAACCACACCAAAGAAACUUGGUGAUAUUUUAGCCAAAGUAGGAAGUAAUUUAUUUUUUACCUUGUGUUUUUUGGUAAGCAAAUAAAAAUGGAAACAUCA
Protopterus annectens (West African lungfish) is the source of this 3069-nucleotide long non-coding RNA. RefSeq lists it as uncharacterized. The record is from RefSeq and is a predicted model, not a curated record. NCBI's taxonomy places the organism in Eukaryota, Metazoa, Chordata, Ceratodontiformes, Protopteridae. The transcript is spliced from 3 exons.